Molecule: transfer RNA, 73 nt
Filed under: Streptomyces griseofuscus
Lineage: Bacteria; Bacillati; Actinomycetota; Actinomycetes; Kitasatosporales; Streptomycetaceae
Description: tRNA-Lys
Rfam family: tRNA
About the family: Transfer RNA (tRNA) molecules are approximately 80 nucleotides in length.
Source: RNAcentral
GAUUCCGUAGCUCAGUUGGUAGAGCUGGGGGCUCUUAACCCCUGAGUCGCUGGUUCGAGUCCAGCCGGAAUCA